ACUUGUAGUUGGCUUGCUAACAAUGUGUUUAUGAGGAUGAGAUAAAAACACCAGCUUAGACAUAAGUAUAGGUGCUCGUUAAGUAUACAACAAACAUUAUAGUGUGAAAAUGAGGGUAAAAGCAUAAGUAUAGGUGCUCGUUAAGUUUUUGAACAACAGCUUAGACA
Medicago truncatula (barrel medic) is the source of this 167-nucleotide long non-coding RNA. RefSeq lists it as uncharacterized. NCBI's taxonomy places the organism in Eukaryota, Viridiplantae, Streptophyta, Magnoliopsida, Fabales, Fabaceae. The record is from RefSeq and is a predicted model, not a curated record. The transcript is spliced from 2 exons.